GGAAAACAGCAAGAUUAAUUCCAAGGAAAUUCAUACACAAACUAGACAUGUGGAGGAUGGUUCAUGCAAAAUUUGGGGUCAAUUGGAUAAGAGGAAGCAUGUGAACAAAAAUUGGGAAAAUACAUGAUCAUGGUAUAGCACCAAAUGUAACACAUAACUUCAAAAAUUCAAAGCUCACAAACCACAAAUGGGAAAUGCAUAAAGUCUAUAUGGAAACAAAGGUCAAUGUGUCUAGUUUCACCACAAAAAGUUUCAAAGGCAUUG
RNAcentral lists this long non-coding RNA (264 nucleotides) under Lathyrus oleraceus (garden pea). Its description in RNAcentral is "Pisum sativum (pea) long non-coding RNA (PSAT_LNC001546)". Lineage: Eukaryota; Viridiplantae; Streptophyta; Magnoliopsida; Fabales; Fabaceae. The record is from RNAcentral.